CGCUCGGGUCCCCUUCCACACUGUGGAAGCUUUGUUCUUUUGCUCUUUGCAAUAAAUCUUGCUACUGCUCACUCUUUGGGUCCACGCUGCUUUUAUGAGCGGUAACACUCACUGCGAAGGUCUGCAGCUUGACUCCUGAGCCAGCGAGACCACGAACCCACCAGAAGGAAGAAACUCCGAACACAUCUGAACAUCAGAAGGGACAGACUCCAGAUGCGCCACCUUAAGAGCUGUAACACUCACCGCGAGGGUCCGCGGCUUCAUUCUUGAAGUCAGUGAGACCAAUAACCCACCAAUUCCGGACAUAAUUGUGUAGAAAUGAGAGAGAUGUAAAUAGCUACCAAAGGAGAAUUGACAAGUCUGAGCAGAAGAAGCACAGAUAUCAAAAGGCAAAGGAGGAGGAAGACUUGGAAAAACAAAAGGUAGCGACUAAGUUGUCUGAGUCUGAUCUGACAUGAACAAAACAAACCAAGCUGUAAUCCCAAGCCAUCUCUAAGUAUGUUCAUUCUGGAGUCCAGACAUUCUGAAAACCAAAUGGAAGAAAAGGAGCCAAGGUGACUAAGAAGGAUCAGCCAGAAAGGAAUGAGGAAAAGCAGGAGUGCCCAGAACCUCAAAAGCUGAGAGAAAGUGAACUUCAAAGAACAGAAGUGCAUCUGGGUAGAUAUCCUAAAGACUUGAAAUCAGUAUGUGGAAGAGGCAUCUGCAUUGCUAUGUUCAUUGCAGCAUUAUUCACAAUAACCCAGAUGUUGAAUCAACCUAAGUGUCUAUCCAUAGAUGAAUGA
RNAcentral lists this long non-coding RNA (782 nucleotides) under Homo sapiens (human). Its description in RNAcentral is "HSALNT0337870". Lineage: Eukaryota; Metazoa; Chordata; Mammalia; Primates; Hominidae. The record is from RNAcentral.